CGGUUGUUGCAGGUGAGUCAAUUAAUUGUAGGCCUUUAUUCUCCGUCGCUGCGGUGUAUAGGUUACUAUGGGUUGAGGCUGUGUGUUUUUAGCGAGAUACCUUAGUUAUGCAUGCAAAAUAGGAAUUAUGUUACAGAAGAUGAGAGGUUACAGGUCCCAGCUUUCAUUCAAUUACUCAGCUGGUUACGACUGCGUUUGUUGGUUGCAUUAAAAGGGGUCAACCUUCUUUUUUCCCCUCAGUGAUUUUUUCGUUCGAAUAUUUCGUUAUUUCCUGUCUAAGGCUUAUCAGUGAGUGGGUCGAGUACAACAUGGGUGUCAGCUGCCAGUCGUAGAUCCAAACCAAGGCUUGAAUUCAGGAAAUUCAGAGCGCGAUUAUUUCAGUGAACUACUGCCAACUCAUAUUGGAUCACCACGUAACAUUAGUCAAACACAACUUUUCGAGUGAUGAUAAGGCAGUUUAGACAUAUCUUCUGGGACUUAAGUACAACAUUACGGAUGACUGUUACUCAACCCAACACUACCAACAGUCUUCUUCGGUACACCGAUCGUAUCCUUUGCACUAUCGUCAUCAACAAUCAAGUUGCUCAACAAUAUUCGGAGCAGUGAAAAACGAUUGGUUUCCUUUCAUCGAUCAGGAAUGUAGUCGUCACUCGUCAGUUGCUUUUUCCAUCGUCCUUUUACCGUGAUUUGUCUUCUACCAUCCUGUAACUCCAUUGUGAAUUCCCGCUACAGAAUCUUUCCCUUUCUCUUUUUUGCUAGGCUGAAUUGGGGCGUCAAUUGAUACUGUCUCUAAAAAUACCAAUUAAAAUAAACAUCGCUUAGUUAAACAAUAAGACAAAAAAGCAAAUAAAAACAUAUUUAAGAAAUAUAAAAGGCAUUGUAUUAUUACAUGAAUAAAAAUUCAAAAACUUGCAAAAACAUUAUUAAAAUACGUAAUGAUGACAACGUCUGGAUUCAUCAUAUGAUUUAGCAUGGAGAACAAGCUAGAAAUUCAAUUCAAGUUUUAUCUUUCUCUCCCGUAUUGUUUACUGGCUACCUACGAAAAUGCAUUGUAAAUGGAACUCCCCCUGACAAAAGUAGUAUGAUCCACCAAUCAGAAUAAUAAUGCACUUAAAGUGAUUUAUUUCCAUUAAAGAUGGACGACAUCUUAGAGCAUUAUUUGAACAAGAAAAAAAAAACUUUGAAUGACAAAGACGGCGAAA
This is a long non-coding RNA of Daphnia magna, 1202 nucleotides long. RefSeq lists it as uncharacterized. The record is from RefSeq and is a predicted model, not a curated record. Lineage: Eukaryota; Metazoa; Arthropoda; Branchiopoda; Diplostraca; Daphniidae. The transcript has 2 exons.